UUCUAUCUCAUAGAUCUGAUUUAUUCUCUAUGAAAUACGUGUUAUGUGGAUGUGCCUCAUCUGUUAUGUGGAAUAGGUAUUGAAUGAGAAUGUUAUACAGGUUUUAAACUAUGUAUAAAAAUAUAUAUUUUUAUCUACUAAUAUGUUGUGUAGAACAUGGGUAGAUAGUUGAUGUGUGAUAAACAGAUGAGAGGCACUGAUGUUGUUGUUGAUCUAGUUAUUCAGCGAGUAUGGAUUAGACCAAGAGGUUAAUUUUAGAUCUGGGAGUAUGGAUCAGGUAAAGAGAUAAAAACUUGUUAUUAGUCCGGGAGUAUGGAUUAAGACUAAGUUAAUUGUCCCUAGUCCGGGAGUAUGGAUUGGGCACAGUUAUUGAUCUGGGAGUAUGGAUCAGAUCAGGAUUAGGGUAUAGUUAAUUGUCCCAAGUUCGGAAGUAUGGAUUGGACACAAUUAUUGAUCCGGGAGUAUGGAUCAGAUCAGGAGGUUAGUUUUAGAUUCGUGAGUAUGGAUCAGGUAGUUUUAGAUCCGUGAGUAUGGAUCAGGUUAAAAAAGUUAGUUUUAGAUCCGUGAGUAUGGAUCGGUGAAGAGGAUAGUUUUAGAUCCGUGAAUAGGAAUCAGGUAAAGAGGAAAAUUUUAGAUACGAGAGUUUAGAUCGUGUCGUUGUGAGGAUCGAUGGGGUGGGAUAAGAGUUGCCUUUAUAUGGUGAAAUUGUACAAGUUUGAAUGUUCUAUAUUUAUAAAUAUAUGAUAUAACAUUGUGGGAUGAAAACCAUAUAUGCCUACCAGGCUCCCAAGCCUGACCCACUCAGUUUUCUUUGUAUCACAGGUAUCGAUACGAAGACAUAUUUCACAGAGAGAUUUAAAGGAGAUAUAAAUCAUUAGUGUAAUUGAAUGUCAGUUCUGUUUAGGCUUAUAUGUCUGUAUCGGAACAUGACAUCCCGAGGUUUUAUUAUUAAAUGAAAAUACAUUCUCUUUGAGAAAUGUUUUGAUAAGUUNUUAUUUUGGGAACAAAUUCCGCAACCGUUUUCUUUAAACGAUCACUCUGAUUUAUAAAACAAAGCAUAAACAAAUCGGUCUUUUCUGGCCGUGAAAAUGGGGAUGUCACAGUUGGUAUCAAAGCAUUAGUUUAAGCGAACUAGGAAUUUGUAGGAAAUUUCUAGACUUAAACUUAGAAUGCUAAGUAAUGAUUGUGAGCAGUGUGUCUAAAAUAUGUUAGGUAGUACACCUAAAUUGACACAAGCACUAGUUUAUUUUAGGAAUAAUGCCUAAAAUGCUUUUAUGUGCUAAAUGUUUUGUGUGAUAGCUAUAUUGGUGCUAUUAUUUGUUCGGAUCUAUGGUCUGUUGCCGACCGGAUCUGGAAACCUUAUGUGUUUAGGAUUCUAAGCGUAUGUCUACGAUAUUAGAACUAGCAUGUAAACGUUUCGGAGUGAUAAGGAUGAUUUGAAUAUCUAUCGUGAGUAAGGAUCUAAUUUUACCUUAUUCGGUGUAUAGAUCAAAAACGGUGAGAACAAGAAGUGGAGUUGGAAAUGCUGAUGAAAACAGGAAUCAACCACCCGUGAUUGAGCAAAUACCUGUCAUAGCAGCAGCACCUAAGCCCAUAACAACGACUGAUGUACAAUUGAUGAUUCAGACGAUGUUGGAUUGUCAAAUGGAUGAAACGAGAUGUCUGCUUCAACAGAAUCGUGAAGAAUUGUUAAUUCAAGUGGAAGAGCCUGAAGUGAAUGAAGGGCACUCGGAAGGUGGAAACUUUAGUGGAUCUGUUGGUCAAGCCAACCCACCGAUAGUUAGGCAAAACAACCAGAAUGGAAGGAAUGAUGGAAUGGGAUGCAAGUAUAAGGAUUUUCUGAUUUGCAAACCAUCGACCCUCACUGGAAAAGAAGAUCCGAUCGGAGUUAUGGAUUGGAUAUUGGAAAUGGAGCUAGCCUUCAUGACUUGUAGCUGCAGAGGUAAGUUGCAGACUAUCUAUGCAGUGCGUCAGUUCCGAGGUGGAGCCGUUCGAUGGUGGAACACUCUAGGGAAGAUCCUAAGCCAUAACGAGCCACUGCAACUGUCUUGGGCAGAGUUCUUGGUGCAAUUCAAGCGCAAGUUCUGCUCGGCCCAAAACCUGCUAGAGUUGGAGAAUAAAUUUCUGAUAUUGAAGAAAGGCAGCAUGUCAGUGGAUGAAUACACUAAUGCCUUCACAGACAAGAUGGAGUUUUCUUUGCACAGCGUCCCAGACGAACUGACAAAAGUCAACCGGUACACAAAGGGACUCCCUUAGGACUAUGCGGUGCCAGUGCGUCAGGCACCUACUCUAGAGGUAACUAUUUGGGCUGCCAAGUCUGUUGAGAAUAUGAUCAAGGGGAGGACUGACAGUAAGGUUGAAGUUGGCGAGAAGAGAAAGUUAGAAGGAACUUCAGGUUCUAAUGAGAAAAGAAAAGUUUCGAAGUCUGAUUCGAAGAAGCUCGAAGAAGGAGCAUAAUGGUGUGACAAGUGCAAAAGGAAGCACAUUGGGGAAUGCUCUAAAGAAAUGACCUACUUCAAAUGUGGGAAGACUGUUCAUUACGCCAGCAAAUGCCCAAACAAAAGAGAAGCAUGCUUUAAGUGUGGUGAAGAAGGACACUUCAAGCAAAACUGCCCAAGAAGAGAAGAGGCUAUAAAGCCAAAUGCACCACCAAAGCCAAGAGCAUUCCACAUGAUCCUCGACGAAGCAGAAAACAAUGCGACAAUUCAAGGAUGAAGACUUCAUGUCAAUAUAUAAAGUCUGUAUCAGGAAGUGUAGCCUACUAGAGGCGUAGUAUAGGGUGAACCUGAACUUUUGUGUAAUCGUUUCAAGGAAUUAAUAUAAACCCUAGUUUUGCUAACUGAUGUGUUGAAUGAUUGUCUGAUUUUCUUGUAUGGUGACUUGGUCGACUGCGGGACAAUACUUGGGACGAGUAUGAGUAGGUGUGAAAGGUAGUAGAUGCAUAUACUACCGGAAGCACAGGACUCGCACUUGGAUCAGGGAAAGUCACAAGGUUACCAAGAAGCUAGUGAUUGAUUCCAUUUUAUUCUGGUAUGUCAUUACCAUUGUUUCGGUAAUGACUAGUAAGAUGGUUCUUGUUCCGACCCUAGUGGUCAUGUUUAAAUUUGAGUUCGACUACGAGGAGUAUGUUACGUGGUCUAGAGGACCAAGUUAGAUGUAACAUCUGACUUAAGUCAGAAGGUUGAAGUUAAUGCGAUUGAUAGUGUCGCGCUUGUUGUUAAAAGAAGUUUGCAGGUAGAAAUGCUACAUGCUGAAAUGUGAUUAUAUCACAUUAGAAUAUGAAGAAAGGUAUAUUCCAUCCUAAAUUUAACUUCAUUAAAGACCGAGUCUAAGCGCCGCAUCGUGCGAUGAGAGGUCAAUAGAGCACGACCCAUCGAUUUGUUACAAUAGAUAAAUGAAAGUAAUUAUCCUGAGAAGAAGAAGGAGUCCACAAUAAGGACUUAUUUGGUAACUUGAAGGUUACGAUUGAAAGUACAACAUAGUACGAUAAGAAGAUGCAAGAUUGGGCAUCUUCUACGGUCAAGAAAGCCAUAGAGUUAAAUACCCUUUCGAGGAAACAUAGAAGUUACGGUUAUUACCUAGGAUGAAUAAAUAACGUGUGGAAUCAUUAUGCAAGUCCUAUUUCGUUGAUGAUUCCGGGACGUAAUUAUCCUAAGGGGGAGAUAAUUGUCACGCCCGUAGAUCCGGGCUAGUCAAUUUAGAGACGAUAGGCGUUAGAAAAGGAUUUUUGAUGAAAGAUUAUUUAUAAUGAAUGAUCUUAACUAAUUUAUAGUAUAUGUUACAAGGUUUGUGCAUAUAANUUUCCGUGCAUAUAAAGAACGCCGAAAUCCAAGUUAUAACGAAGAAGUUAUGACCUGUCGAAGUUUCGCGGCAGAACCGGCACGACGCUGAAUGACGUAAAAAGUGAAUUUACGUUAGAGUGAUAUUUAGCCGUAGCAAUCUAAAAAAAAAGUCGUAGAUUUCGUUAAACCAUGAGCGUGCAUAAAAAGAACGUUCAAAUCUGACUUCGUAUGAGGAAGUUAUGAUUUUUCUAAGUUUUGACUUAGCGGUAUGCAGCCCGAAUACUCGAUUUGAGAUCGAGCGGUUUUUAGCCGAAACAAUCUAAAUGAGAAUCGAAGAUCUCGUUAAUUGUAAUGAAACGAUGAAAAGAUAGGCGAAAACGGACGUCGGAUAAAGAAGUUAUGAUUUUAUAAUGGAGUUUUCCUAUCCCGGCCUACUAAAAAUAAAUAAUAAAAAUAAAGUCAAAAUUAGCCGACGGAGUCUAAAUGAAAGUUGUAGAGCGUAGUCUCACCUACGCGGGGAUAUAAAGAACGUCGAAAACGAAGUUCGUAUGAGGAAUAUAUAAAAUUUUGAAGUUUAUUUAAUAAUUUCGGUAUUUAAAAUUAAUUAAAAAUAUCUGAUAUUAUCCAGGGGGGGUCAGCGUUAUUAUCCCCAUUAUGGGCAGCGUAAUUUAGAAUUACGCCCAACGUAAUUCGUGUUUCAGCCCCCUAUAAAAGGGUGUCGAGGGCAACCGACUUCUUUGCUCAUUUCUUCCAUUUUCUCGUAUUUUUGCAUCGUUUUUCAUGAAAGAAAUAUCCCGAAGCCCCAAUAUCAUUCCCGAGCCCCGAAACAAGUCCCAAGGCCCCGAAGAUCCCGAGAAGUGCGAUUCCCAAGCCGAAGCUCUGCCCGCGAGGAGCCCGGUUUUUGUGAAGAUCUACCAAAUCUACCGAAGAAUACUACUUCUACAAGUCGUAGUGCUGUCCAAUCAUCUUCUAAUCAAGUGAGUGUGUGGUUACUUUCUUCUAACGCAUAAUUAUGAAGUAUUUUAUAUGAAAUACGUGUUAUGUGUAUAAUUUUCUUGUUAUGUGUGUGAAUGUAUAUUCACGUUCUUCUAUCUCAUAGAUCUGAUUUAUUCUCUAUGAAAUACGUGUUAUGUGGGUGUGCCUCAUUUGUUAUGUGGAAUAGGUAUUGAAUGAGAAUGUUAUAUAGGUUUUAAACUAUGUUUAAAAAUAUAUAUUUUUAUCUACUAAUAUGUUGGGUAGAACAUGGGUAGAUAGUUGAUGUGUGAUAAACAGAUGAGAGGCCCCGAUGUUGUUGUUGUUGAUCUAGUUAUUCAGCGAGUAUGGAUUAGACCAAGAGGUUAAUUUUAGAUCCGGGAGUAUGGAUCAGGUAAAGAGAUAAAAACUUGUUAUUAGUCCGGGAGUAUGGAUUAAGACUAAGUUAAUUGUCCCUAGUCCGGGAGUAUGGAUUGGGCACAGUUAUUGAUCCGGGAGUAUGGAUCAGAUCAGGAUUAGGGUAUAGUUAAUUGUCCCUAUUCCGGGAGUAUGGAUUGGGUACAAUUAUUGAUCCGGGAGUAUGGAUCAGAUCAGGAGGUUAGUUUUAGAUCCGUGAGUAUGGAUCAGGUAGUUUUAGAUCCGUGAGUAUGGAUCAGGUGAAAAAGGUUAGUUUUAGAUCCAUGAGUAUGGAUCGGUGAAGAGGAUAGUUUUAGAUCUGUGAGUAGGGAUAAGGUAAAGAGGAAAAUUUUAGAUACGAGAGUUUAGAUCGUGUUGUUAUGAGGAUCGAUGGGGUGGGAUAAGAGUUGCCUUUAUAUGUUUAAAUUGUACA
Molecule: long non-coding RNA, 5583 nt
Filed under: Lactuca sativa (garden lettuce)
Lineage: Eukaryota; Viridiplantae; Streptophyta; Magnoliopsida; Asterales; Asteraceae
Description: long non-coding RNA (LSAT_LNC001247)
Source: RNAcentral